GAUGAACGCUGGCGGCGUGCCUAAUACAUGCAAGUCGAGCGAACAGACGAGGAGCUUGCUCCUCUGACGUUAGCGGCGGACGGGAGAGUAACACGUGGAUAACCUACCUAUAAGACUGGGAUAACUUCGGGAAACCGGAGCUAAUACCGGAUAAUAUAUUGAACCGCAUGGUUCAAUAGUGAAAGACGGUUUUGCUGUCACUUAUAGAUGGAUCCGCGCCGCAUUAGCUAGUUGGUAAGGUAACGGCUUACCAAGGCAACGAUGCGUAGCCGACCGGAGAGGGUGAUCGGCCACACUGGAACUGAGACACGGUCCAGACUCCUACGGGAGGCAGCAGUAGGGAAUCUUCCGCAAUGGGCGAAAGCCUGACGGAGCAACGCCGCGUGAGUGAUGAAGGUCUUCGGAUCGUAAAACUCUGUUAUUAGGGAAGAACAAAUGUGUAAGUAACUAUGCACGUCUUGACGGUACCUAAUCAGAAAGCCACGGCUAACUACGUG
RNAcentral lists this ribosomal RNA (497 nucleotides) under uncultured bacterium. RNAcentral's name for it is "partial 16S ribosomal RNA". It matches the Rfam family "Bacterial small subunit ribosomal RNA", at positions 28 to 507 of the family's 1533-position model. The record is from RNAcentral.